RNAcentral lists this ribosomal RNA (116 nucleotides) under uncultured eukaryote. RNAcentral's name for it is "partial small subunit ribosomal RNA". It matches the Rfam family "Bacterial small subunit ribosomal RNA", at positions 1410 to 1525 of the family's 1533-position model. The record is from RNAcentral.
GUUGGCUUUACCCGAAGGCAUUUCGCUAACCGCAAGGAGGCAGGCGACCACGGUAGGGUCAGCGACUGGGGUGAAGUCGUAACAAGGUAGCCGUAGGUGAACCUGCAGAAGGAUCA